CUUUUUGGCACUAUGGGAUAUGUUCCAUUGAUAUUUUAAUACACAUGGUUUUAUACACCAUGCUAGGUUAUGGUACGUUUUGUAUUACUAAACCUAUUCUUGUAUUUUUACUUUAUUCGCCUCCUCUAUGUUCUCCCUUAUAUCAUGGACUGAUUUCCGUCGAGGUUACGCACUGUACGGUGGAACGCACAUGCGUUCCAGCCGCCAAGAGAUGACUGAUGUAGAAGGAGUUCCUCUCUUCCGGAUUGUUGGAACGCAUAUGCGUUCCAUGGAACACUCGGCGGAAGUCCUUAUAUGGACUCGGAAUUAUGCUCACUUGGAACAGGUAACGCAACGCCUGCAGAUUGGAUGAUGAGAAGUCAAACCCGGCGAGAGGCACACUUAAAAGAAGACUGAACAGAAGAGCAUAUCAGCAUCUGUUAUUUAUUUGAUUGAUUGUAACAUUGUUUUUUUUUAUUAUAUGAUGAAGUCUAAUGCUUAGACGAAACGUGUAGAGCUGGUUUUAUUGCUACCUGUUAUCCCUGUAUUUGAAGUCUCCAUUUGUCAUCUUGGAAAGAGAGACUAAUACUUGAU
This is a non-coding RNA of Pelobates cultripes (western spadefoot toad), 573 nucleotides long. NCBI's taxonomy places the organism in Eukaryota, Metazoa, Chordata, Amphibia, Anura, Pelobatidae. The record is from the annotation of a GenBank genome assembly.